CGCCUUUGGCAUAACAUCAAAGGUCCUGCCUGCCCAGUGAUAUAAAAAUUAAACGGCUGCGGUACUCUGACCGUGCAAAGGUAGCAUAAUCAUUAGCCUGUUAAUUUCAGGCUGGAAUCAACGGCAAGACGAAGAAAAAGCUGUCUCUUUCUAUUAUUUUAGAAUUUUUCCUUUUGGUGAAGAGACCAAAAUGUUUAAGUGGGACGAGAAGACCCUAUUGAGUUUUAGUAAUUCCCCAAAAAUCUUUUUUGGGAAAUUACUUUGGUUGGGGCAACUGUUAAUAAAAUUAAACAUUGAUAAAACAGAAAUGAAUUAAAUCUAAAUUAAAUCCAAAAUUUUAUUUUGAAAUUAAAAAAAAUUACCUUAGGGAUAACAGCGUAAUUCUUUUUGAGAGUACAUAUUGACAAAAGAGUUUGCGACCUCGAUGUUGGAUCAAGUUUUCCUGAAGGUGCAGUAGCUUUCAAUGGUUGGUUUGUUCAACCAUAAAAAUCUU
RNAcentral lists this ribosomal RNA (493 nucleotides) under Conocladus australis. RNAcentral's name for it is "partial 16S ribosomal RNA". It matches the Rfam family "Bacterial large subunit ribosomal RNA", at positions 1817 to 2597 of the family's 2925-position model. Lineage: Eukaryota; Metazoa; Echinodermata; Ophiuroidea; Euryalida; Gorgonocephalidae. The record is from RNAcentral.